RNAcentral lists this ribosomal RNA (639 nucleotides) under Salmonella enterica subsp. enterica serovar Dublin. Its description in RNAcentral is "partial 23S ribosomal RNA". It matches the Rfam family "Bacterial large subunit ribosomal RNA", at positions 580 to 1219 of the family's 2925-position model. Lineage: Bacteria; Pseudomonadati; Pseudomonadota; Gammaproteobacteria; Enterobacterales; Enterobacteriaceae. The record is from RNAcentral.
CAGGUUUACCUGUGUGACUGCGUACCUUUUGUAUAAUGGGUCAGCGACUUAUAUUCUGUAGCAAGGUUAACCGAAUAGGGGAGCCGGAGGGAAACCGAGUCUUAAUUGGGCGUUAAGUUGCAGGGUAUAGACCCGAAACCCGGUGAUCUAGCCAUGGGCAGGUUGAAGGUUGGGUAACACUAACUGGAGGACCGAACCGACUAAUGUUGAAAAAUUAGCGGAUGACCUGUGGCUGGGGGUGAAAGGCCAAUCAAACCGGGAGAUAGCUGGUUCUCCCCGAAAGCUAUUUAGGUAGCGCCUCGUGAAUUCAUCUCCGGGGGUAGAGCACUGUUUCGGCUAGGGGGCCAUCCCGGCUUACCAACCCGAUGCAAACUGCGAAUACCGGAGAAUGUUAUCACGGGAGACACACGGCGGGUGCUAACGUCCGUCGUGAAGAGGGAAACAACCCAGACCGCCAGCUAAGGUCCCAAAGUCAUGGUUAAGUGGGAAACGAUGUGGGAAGGCCCAGACAGCCAGGAUGUUGGCUUAGAAGCAGCCAUCAUUUAAAGAAAGCGUAAUAGCUCACUGGUCGAGUCGGCCUGCGCGGAAGAUGUAACGGGGCUAAACCAUGCACCGAAGCUGCGGCAGCGAACGUAUCAC